UGCUAUGAUGAAAAACGUUUCCUUAACGACGAGCGGACCGACACGCACACAUGCGGACAGUUCGAAUGUGUACAAAUGUUGAGCC
This 85-nucleotide small nucleolar RNA is filed under the name Leishmania donovani. RNAcentral describes it as "C/D box snoRNA LD18Cs1C1". The record is from RNAcentral. Lineage: Eukaryota; Euglenozoa; Kinetoplastea; Trypanosomatida; Trypanosomatidae.